GAGGAUGUAGCUCAGUUGUAGAGUGCUUACCUUGCAUGCACAAGGCCUUGGGUUCGAUUCCCAACACCACA
Molecule: transfer RNA, 71 nt
Filed under: Ictidomys tridecemlineatus (thirteen-lined ground squirrel)
Lineage: Eukaryota; Metazoa; Chordata; Mammalia; Rodentia; Sciuridae
Description: Spermophilus tridecemlineatus (thirteen-lined ground squirrel) tRNA
Rfam family: tRNA
About the family: Transfer RNA (tRNA) molecules are approximately 80 nucleotides in length. Their secondary structure includes four short double-helical elements and three loops (D, anti-codon, and T loops).
Source: Rfam by way of RNAcentral